GUGUCCCCCACUGGAGAGAGGCCGCUGCCCACACGGGUCUGGCGGCCCACCGAAGGAGCAAACGUGGCAUCGCCCGCGUGAAUCUCUCAGGUAAAGCGGACAGUGGGGCAGCA
RNAcentral lists this non-coding RNA (113 nucleotides) under Hydrogenophaga sp. Its description in RNAcentral is "Glycine sequence". It matches the Rfam family "Glycine riboswitch aptamer". Rfam says of the family: This family represents the bacterial glycine riboswitch. Glycine riboswitches usually consist of two metabolite-binding aptamers domains with similar structures in tandem. Lineage: Bacteria; Pseudomonadati; Pseudomonadota; Betaproteobacteria; Burkholderiales; Comamonadaceae. The record is from RNAcentral. RNAcentral also lists the same sequence under 1 other name.